RNAcentral lists this ribosomal RNA (1293 nucleotides) under Triticum aestivum (bread wheat). RNAcentral's name for it is "partial small subunit ribosomal RNA". The record is from RNAcentral. Lineage: Eukaryota; Viridiplantae; Streptophyta; Magnoliopsida; Poales; Poaceae.
AUGGAUUAUCUUGUCAUGCAUUGGCUUAUGACCAUUCUUACGGUUGAUUCUGAAAUCUUGUCUUGCGCAUUUGUAGCACAUAAUUUUUCUUCGAGUGAACACCUUCGCCUGCUACACUUUAUAAUAGUAUACUCCCCGUCGAUAUUGAAGUUCAUUGCUGGAGUAUGCAGGUUCGUGGUUGCUCCCCUGGUGGUACUAUUCUUCCUGGCCCACAAAUAUUGGAAAACAAGAAUCACAAUCGAUGCGGUCGAGAAGUUCUUACAAAUGCAGCAAGUGAUCGGCCCAACAAGGUAUGCUUACACAGAUAUUGUCGCGGUCACAAGCCAUUUCAGAGACAAGCUGGGUCAGGGAGGCUAUGGCUCCGUCUACAAGGGCAUUCUGCUCCCAGGCGAUGUCCAUGUGGCCAUCAAGAUGCUGGACGGUAAAUCCUGCUGCGACGGAGAAGAUUUCAUCAGUGAGGUCUCCACCAUCGGCAGGAUCCACCACGUCAAUGUGGUCCGUCUGGUCGGGUUCUGCUCGGAGGAAAUGAGGAGGGCACUAGUCUACGAGUAUAUGCCCCAUGGUUCUCUUGAUAAGUACAUCUUCUCCGCCGAGAAGAGUUUCUCCUGGGACAAGCUCAGUGAGAUUGCCUUGGGCAUUGCUAGGGGGAUCAACUACCUGCAUCAAGGAUGCGACAUGCAGAUUCUACACUUUGAUAUCAAGCCGCACAACAUCCUUCUUGACACCAAUUUUGUCCCAAAAAUUGCUGAUUUUGGCCUUGCCAAGCUAUACCCAAGGGACAACAGUUUUGUGCCGUUGAGCGCCUUACGGGGAACAAUCGGGUACAUAGCUCCUGAGAUGGUAUCCCGGAGCUUUGGCAUCAUAUCUAGCAAGUCAGAUGUUUACAGCUUCGGGAUGCUGCUGUUGGAGAUGGCUGGAGGACGCAGGAACGCGGCAAACUCAAGCCAGGCAUUCUACCCAUCAUGGGUGUAUGACCGGCUAACUAAACAUGAACCGGGUGAGAUAUCUGCUGAGAUGCAUGAAUUGGAGAGGAAGCUGUGCCUUGUUGGUCUGUGUUGCAUCCAGAUGAAGUCCCACGAUCGGCCAGAGAUGAGCGAAGUCAUAGAGAUGCUCGAAGGGAGCGUUGAUAGCAUGCAGGUGCCUUCAAGGCCAUUCUUCUGUGAUGAUGAGCACAGCCCUGUAGUGGAGCCUUACCAUUUCCUCUCUGAGCUGACUACCAUUUCGGAGGAGGAUGAACUAUGGAAUGUGAAUGUUUUAUACAGCACUCUAUAUUAUAAGCCAUGCUUUCUGUGA